RNAcentral lists this long non-coding RNA (2993 nucleotides) under Sus scrofa (pig). Its description in RNAcentral is "lncRNA (ENSSSCG00015004144.1)". The record is from RNAcentral. Lineage: Eukaryota; Metazoa; Chordata; Mammalia; Artiodactyla; Suidae.
GAAUCAGAGCUGCAGCUUCUGGCCUUUGACACAGCCACAGCAACACCAGAUCCUUAACCUACUGAGGCACGCCAGGAAUAGAACUCGAAUUCUCACAGAUAAAAGUUGGAUCCUUAACCUGCUGAACCACAAUGGGAAUUCCAAAUAAUGAAAUUUAAUGAAUAUAGUGACAUCCAUUAAGCCAGAAAUGACAAAACCUAAGUCUACACACUGUGGGUUUCCAGAUGGAUCUGAUGACUCCCAGUGUCCUUUCCAGCACUAACAGUCUACCUCUUCCGGAAGAAUUUCUUUUUCUUUUAAUUUUAUUGAAAUAUAGUUGACUUACAAUGUUGUGCAAAUUUCUGCUGCACGACAAAGUGACUCGGUUAUACAUAAACGUUUUUCUCGUAUUCUUUUCCAUUAUAGAUUCACACAGGCUAUUGAAUAUAGUUCCCUGUGCUCUACAGUACGACCUUAUUGUUAGAUCUGUCCUGGAGAAUUUCUAACCAAGCUCUGUGGUCUGUGCCUGCAGCCUGGAGGCAAAACCUAGGGCAGCAGAAUCAGGUGCCUAUUGGGUAUCCUAUUAAAAUGCAGAUUCCGAUUCAGGUCUGUGUUGGAGCCUAGGGUCUGCAUUUUCAACAGACUUCCAGGUGAUGCUGAUUCUGCUGUGACAUUCACGUUGGUAGCUUGAAAUCAGCCACAGCUGAAGUAAUUAUACCAAAAAAAUCAGCAAUGCAAGGCAGGGUCCAAUUUCUUGUUUUAUUGUCUUUGAGACUUAAGAAAGUGAUGGGAAAAUAGUAAAAUUUACAAUAAAUUAUACAUAUAAAGGCACACUACAAAUACAGACAGACGGGUUCUCUUGCAGCGCAGCAGGUUAAGGAUCCAGCAUUGUUAACUGCUGUGGCUACAGUUUGAACCCUGGCUGGGGAACUUCUGUCACACGUGCAGCCAAAAAAACCAAACCAAAACAGACAGACAGAAACACAUUCCGCCCCCAGAGAAGCAGCUGUUAAACACUCACCAUACCCCACUGAUUAUAUAGAAAUGUAUAAGACAACCACAUAAAUAUAUGUCUUAGAAGUUGGCAAAUUCCUAUAAAAAUCCAGAGUAAAUAUUUUAAGUUUGUUGACAGUCUGUUAAAAGGACUCAACUAAGAGUUCCCGUCACUGCUCAGUGAUUAACAAACCUGACUAGUGUCCAUGAGGACCCAGGUUUGACCCCUGGCCUUGCUCAGUGGGUUAAGGAUCCAGCGUUGCCUCAAGCUGUGGUGUAGGUUGCAGACAUGGCUCGGAUCCCUCGUUGCUGUGGCUGUGGUGUAGGCCGGCAGUUGCAGCUCCGAUUCAACUCCUAGCCUGGGAACCUCCAUAUGCCGUGGGGGCGGCCCUAAAAAGACAAAAAGUUAAAAAAAAAACUCAACUCUGAUGUUGUAGCUCAAAAACAGCCAUAGGCAUUUUGUAAAUUAGUAUGGCUGUUUUCAAAUAAACUUAAAUUUAUGGACACUGAAAUUUAAAUUGUAUACAGUGUUCACAUGUCAUGAGCCAUUAUUCUUCUUUUGACUUUCUCCCCAAAAUUAAAAGCAUAAAAACCAGGAGUUCCGGGGUGGCCUAACAGUUAAGGAUCUGACGUUGUCACUGCUAUGGUGCUGGUCACUGCUAUGGUGCAGGUUUAAUCCCUGGCCCAGGAACUUGUGUGCCAAGGGCACAGCCAACCCCCCCCCCCCCAAAAAAAAAUCCAAAAUGUAAAAAACUACCCUUAGCUUACAAGCCAGAGGUGGCGCAAGGACUGUCGGGCCUUAAACCAAAGACAUGUGACACAAAGUCCCAAGCAGAGGGAUCACUCUUAAGUGCAAAGAUCCUGAGUUUGGUAAGCUCCCAAACACAGAAAGAUCCAUGUGUCAGAACUGCAAAUGAGCAAGGGAGCGCAUGGCAGCAGAAAACAGGGGGGCUUUGUAAGCCUAAAUGAGAGAUUUAGAAUGUAUUCCAAGUUCAGCGGAAAGUGUUUUGGAAGCAUUGAGGAAAGAUGUGCUCUUGAUCUAACAUUUUUUCCCCCCACUGUACAGCAAGGGGAUCAAGUUAUCCUUACAUGUAUACAUUUUUUUCCCCACCCUUCGUUCUGUUGCAACAUGAGUAUCUAGACAUAGUUCUCAAUGCUACCCAGCAGGAUAACUCAUAUUUUUUAAAAGAUUCCUCUGCGUGUUGCUUAUUUCCUAAAAAUGAAAGAGAGCAGAGAGAGAAGAUGCUGUUCAGUCUUCCAGGAUAGAGAUGAGGAUGAUAUGGCCUCAGGCAGUGAAAGCCUUUCUGGGGAGAACGGGUGGAUCUGGGCUCUAUUUUGGAGAGGAGGCAGAGUCCAGGGGAUGUUCUGAGGGAUCCGUAGCAGAUGCGUCGCGAAUGAGCCCAGGGGGUCCAAUAGUCUCCCCUCAGCCCUGUGAAGUUGAUCAGCCCACGUGAUCAAUAAAAACACAGAGGCUCCGUGCCAGGCCCUGUUGAGUCCACGGCCUCGACCCCCUCCCAAAAGCCAGUGAUCUUUAACUUCAGGCUUCUACUUCCCCCAACCAUCUCCCACGUCUCCACGUGAUCUCAGAAAAACGUCUGCUCAAAGUACUGGUCCCUUAGACGGAGAACUGGUCUGGGGUGACUUAGGACACCCCACGACCCUCCUGCAGGCCCCAGGCCUGCCCGCGUGGAAAGGCCCCCACUCCAGACCCAGCGAUUUACCUAUUAGAAGGCCUCGAUCGCGGCGCCCACCACAACUCACGCUCCCACCGAGGAGGGCGGGACCGCAAAACGAGCGAAAUGCGGGACGGUCAGAACCCAUCCCUGCCCGGCCGCCUUACCAACCGUUGCUUCCCGCGUCGCCCGGGAACUCCACCACGCAUGCGUCUUAACCUACCCACGCCCACACACCCCCACCCACCCUUGAUCGGCGGGAAAGGGAGGCGGGGGCGGUUAAAACGCAGGCUCGUGCUCCGAGCUUGGUCGGGCGGGGACAGUGAUCCAGAGCCCCACUGCGCGCCU